GACAAACGCUGGCGGCGUGCCUAAUACAUGCAAGUAGAACGCUGAAGGAGGAGCUUGCUUCUCUGGAUGAGUUGCGAACGGGUGAGUAACGCGUAGGUAACCUGCCUGGUAGCGGGGGAUAACUAUUGGAAACGAUAGCUAAUACCGCAUAAGAGUAGAUGUUGCAUGACAUUUGCUUAAAAGGUGCAAUUGCAUCACUACCAGAUGGACCUGCGUUGUAUUAGCUAGUUGGUGGGGUAACGGCUUACCAAGGCGACGAUACAUAGCCGACCUGAGAGGGUGAUCGGCCACACUGGGACUGAGACACGGCCCAGACUCCUACGGGAGGCAGCAGUAGGGAAUCUUCGGCAAUGGACGGAAGUCUGACCGAGCAACGCCGCGUGAGUGAAGAAGGUUUUCGGAUCGUAAAGCUCUGUUGUAAGAGAAGAACGAGUGUGAGAGUGGAAAGUUCACACUGUGACGGUAUCUUACCAGAAAGGGACGGCUAACUACGUG
Molecule: ribosomal RNA, 495 nt
Filed under: uncultured bacterium
Lineage: Bacteria
Description: partial 16S ribosomal RNA
Rfam family: Bacterial small subunit ribosomal RNA
Source: RNAcentral